GUGAAUCAUCGAAUUUUUGAACGCAAAUUGCACUCCCUGGUAUUCCGGAGAGUAUGCCUGUUUGAGGGUCAGUAUAAAUAAAAAUCGAGGUGUUGCUUAUGGUGACUCCAUCUUAAUUUGGUUAUCUUUAAUCUUAAUAAAUGUCUAAAGUGACCUAAAAUUGAUGACACCUGCUUCAUCUCAAGACUCACAUAAGCAUUUUUUUUUUCUCCGUCCGGAGUUUGCCAUC
RNAcentral lists this unclassified non-coding RNA (229 nucleotides) under Glomeraceae sp. RNAcentral describes it as "partial contains 5.8S ribosomal RNA and internal transcribed spacer 2". The stretch from base 1 to 71 matches the Rfam family "5.8S ribosomal RNA", at positions 84 to 154 of the family's 154-position model. Lineage: Eukaryota; Fungi; Glomeromycota; Glomeromycetes; Glomerales; Glomeraceae. The record is from RNAcentral.